Molecule: long non-coding RNA, 507 nt
Organism: Eptesicus fuscus (big brown bat)
Lineage: Eukaryota; Metazoa; Chordata; Mammalia; Chiroptera; Vespertilionidae
Exons: 3
Source: RefSeq, a predicted model, not a curated record
GGCCCUGUCUGAGAGUUGGAGAAAAGAGAAAAAGACAUUGAUUCUCACUGUAACCACAACUAAAAUGAUGACAACAAAAUAACUUUGAAUGAUCCCAUGUGACUGAGGCACCAUCUUUUGAAAAAGCUUCUGUUGCAAAGUUUAUCAUGUGACAUGUCCGGAGUCAGGCAUGGUAGAUGUGAACUCUAGUUAUAACUUCAUGAACUGGUUUCUUUGCAGUAUAUGAUCUUGGACAAGUCAUCUACCCUUUCAAACCUCAGUUUUUCCAUCUGCAAAAUGGAGGACGCUACCUCUAAAUUCUGCAUUAUGCCUUGAUAUUUGUUGCUUUAUAAAUUUUUAAGUAGUUCAAUAAUGAGUGGAUUUGAGGACUCCUACUUCCAAUCAAGACCGAGUAAUAAGAACUGGAUUUACCUUCUCACUUGAAAUAACUGAAAAACUGGACAAUAAAAUGACAACAUUCAAAAUAUUGGACAUUGGGCAACCAAGGCCAGCAGUCCCCAAUAGAUA